UAGCCAAGGAUGACUUGCCUGAUUUCCUAGCAUUUUGGGUUGUGGCUUGCAACAAUCUUUAUACAAAUGUAACCCUUCAUACAGGUUCUCAGGCAGUCUCCUUGGCUAA
This 109-nucleotide microRNA precursor is filed under the name Manihot esculenta (cassava). Lineage: Eukaryota; Viridiplantae; Streptophyta; Magnoliopsida; Malpighiales; Euphorbiaceae. The record is from RNAcentral.